This 236-nucleotide long non-coding RNA is filed under the name Elaeis guineensis (African oil palm). RNAcentral's name for it is "long non-coding RNA (EGUI_LNC061864)". The record is from RNAcentral. Lineage: Eukaryota; Viridiplantae; Streptophyta; Magnoliopsida; Arecales; Arecaceae.
CCCUGGCAUCUGUGGACCAUGGUGGCUUUGUGAACCACCAUGGAUCGAGCAGUUAAUUGGGUCAGCAUGCUUCCAAUUUUUUGGGCUUUUUUGAGCUGAUUUUUUUUGGGGAUACCUUUGAGUAUUCAUUCGGGAUCCAUUUUGAGUCUGAUUUGCUUUAAAUUUGAGUUCUUUUAACCUAUGAAUCAGACUCUUUAUAUUGAUGAUCAUCUUUCCUAUAAAAUAUAAGUAAAAGU